This 73-nucleotide transfer RNA is filed under the name Candidatus Parcubacteria bacterium. RNAcentral describes it as "tRNA-Thr". It matches the Rfam family "tRNA". Rfam says of the family: Transfer RNA (tRNA) molecules are approximately 80 nucleotides in length. Their secondary structure includes four short double-helical elements and three loops (D, anti-codon, and T loops). Further hydrogen bonds mediate the characteristic L-shaped molecular structure. tRNAs have two regions of fundamental functional importance: the anti-codon, which is responsible for specific mRNA codon recognition, and the 3' end, to which the tRNAs corresponding amino acid is attached (by aminoacyl-tRNA synthetases). tRNAs cope with the degeneracy of the genetic code in two manners: having more than one tRNA (with a specific anti-codon) for a particular amino acid; and 'wobble' base-pairing, i.e. permitting non-standard base-pairing at the 3rd anti-codon position. Lineage: Bacteria; Candidatus Parcubacteria. The record is from RNAcentral.
GCCAACGUAGCUCAGUCGGUAGAGCACGUCAUUGGUAAUGACGAGGUCUCCGGUUCGAUCCCGGACGUUGGCU